UAGGAAUGAUAUGAUUAAGAAUGAGGUUUUACGGGAUAAGGUGACAGUGGCCUCUGCGGCGGAUAAGAUGAGUUUAGCAAGGUUGAGAUGAUUCGAACGUGUAAAGAGAGAGGAUGCGCCAGGGAGGAGGCGUGAGAGGUUGGCUACAACAGGAGCCAGAAGAGGUAGAGGUAGGCUGAAAAAGAGCAGACAAAUAUGACACAAGAUCAACUGACCGAGCACACGACCCUAGAUAGAAGUGUGAAGGUCGAGGUCUCGAUGAUUAGAGAAGAAGGAUAGUAAGUAAAAAGGCCAUAUAUAAAACUAAAAACAAGUUUGUAAAGUGCUACAAAACCAAAUAUCUUGGACUGACAACAGUAGAACAACCAUCAAUAGCAAGAAGCAAAACUUCAUUCAUUUCUCUCACAACCAUAAAAAGGGCCGCCCGGUGCACUAAAGCUACUGCUAUGUGCGGUGUUCGGAUAAGGGCCCACCACAAGGAUGUAUCGUGCGCAAACUUACUUUGCGUUUCUCUCACAACCAUCAAUAAUAAUAAUAAUCAAAAACUCAAAAGUUUGGACAAAGAUAUAUAGAUAUUACCUGAACUGAACUGAAGAACUUUGCUUAGUAUCUAUAGAUGAGGAGACUUCGGUUAAGUGAAAGUGAAAAUGUCUAUAAAUCCAUUUGCAAUGGUGGAUAGGAUAGAUAUCUCCCAUAUCUACAUUUGGGUUUGGCAAUACUAGGGACUUUGGGACCCAACUGCUUAUUAUCUGCGUAGGAAUUUGAUUGUCUACAUAAAUUUACAGGUACGUUAUUUGCUUAUUAUCAAAAUUUUGCAUGAAUUAUUUGAUAAAAUUUCAUAGAAAAGGAUUUUACUUGCGGAUUUCUACGAAAAAAUUCACAGAUUAUUUUCCACGAAGAUUCUCAAGUAAAUUCGAAGAAAAUUUAGAGAUGAAAAUUUCUAAUCCCUAGCAAAUAAUCCCCAAAUAUUUUUUAUGUAAUAAAAUCUGCCACAUAAAUUUCCACCAAAUAUCUCUAUGUAAAUUCGUAGGAUAAAUUACCUAAAAUUUUUUCUAUGGAUUUAAAAAAUAUAUAUAUUUGUCCAUGUACCUGUGGAUUUACCUAGAGAUAAAAUAACCGUACAUAUAUUUCCCAGAUAAUGUCGCAAGUACGAAAUUUGCGCAAUAGAAUGUCAGAUUUACCUGCAGAAUUUAUUGAAAAUAUAUAAUUCACAGAUAACAUAUUCUAAUGUUGAGGAAUUUAAAAUGUCCACAGAUAAAUCUGCAUAUAUUUCUUGCAUAUCUUUUCCUAGGUAAGAUCCUCAAGUAAUUGACAGCUUUAUAGCAGUGUAACAAUCCCAUACUAGAUGGUUGUUUGGCAAGACGCAUUAAACAACCUAAUACACUAAUAUCUUAUUUGGUACUAUUAGUCUAUAAAUAGGUGAAACUUAGGGGCGGAGCUACACUUGAUCGAGGGGUUCGUCCGAACCCCCUUCGAUGAAAAAUUAUACUAUUUAUAUAUAGUUAAAAUUAUAUUUUAUGUAUAUACAGAUGUUGAACCCCCUCGAUUAAUUCGUAUGUUUACUUCUGAACCUCCUUAACGAAAAUCUUGAUUUUCCUGAGAGCCCUCGGUCGACUUUCGGCCAAAAACACGCCCGGGCCUCGGGCUCAUUCUGGAAUCGUGAGCUAUAACACAUUGAUUUGGCCCGAAAAUGGUCCGUUCCCGUUGUUUUGCCUGUUUGACCACCUAGACGGCCCCGGCCACUAUGCCGGCCCACGCUACCCCUCUCUUCAGCUUGCCUGGGAGCCCUCGGUCGACUUUCAACCCAAAAUAUUUGGCCCGAAAAUGAUCCGUUCCCGCUGUUUUGCCUGUUUGACCACCCAGACGGCCCGACCCACCAUGCCGGCCCAUACUACCCCCUCUCUUUAGCUUGCCUGGGAGCCCUCGGUCGACUAUCGACCAAAAAUAUUUGGCCCGAAAAUGGUUCGUUCCUGCUGUUUUGCCUGUUUGACCACCCAGACGGCUCGGCCCACCAUGCUGGCCCACACUACCCCCUCUCUUCGGCUUUCCUGAGAGCCCUCGGUCGACUUUUGACCAAAAACACGCCCGAGCCUCGGGCUCACCCCGGAACCGUGAGCUAUAGCACACUGAUUUGGCCCGAAAAUGAUCCAUUCCCGCUGUUUUGCCUGUUUGGCCACCCAGAUGACCUCGCCCACCAUGCCGGCCCAUACUACCCCUCUCUUCAGCUUGCCUGGGAGCCCUCAGUUGACUUUCGACCCAAAAUAUUUGGCCCGAAAACGGUCUGUUCCCGCUGUUUUGCUUGUUUGACCACCCAGACAGCCCGACCCACCAUGUCGGCCCAUACUACCCCCUCUCUUCGGCUUGCCUAGGAGCCCUCGGUCGACUUUCGAUCAAAAAUACGCCCAAGCCUCGGGCUCACCCCGGAAUCGUGAGCUAUAGCACACUAAUUUGACCCGAAAAUGGUCCGUUCCCGCUGUUUUGCCUGUUUGACCACCCAGACGGCCCCGCCCACCAUGCCGGCCCACACUACCCUUCUAUUCAGCUUGCCUGGGAGCCCUCGGUCGACUUUCGACCCAAAACAUUUGGCCCAAAAAUGGUCCGUUCCCGCUGUUUUGCCUGUUUGACCACCCAGACGGCCUCGCCCACACUCUCCCGCUCCUCAGCCAGCCUGGGAGCCGCCGGUCGAUUUUCAACCCUAAACAUGUUCGGGCCCCCGGCACACCCCGGAACCCGAUUUGGCCCGAAAACAGCCCGUUAUUGCCGUUCGCCCUUUAGAAAAUAAACUUGCGUCGUUGUAGGUCAAACUAACAUUGUAUUCAAUUUACCAACUUUUCACCCACACCAUUGAUAUGGAAUAAAUAUGGAACAAUGAUAUAAGUUUUCACAAGAAGAAUUAUCUUCCAAGAAAAUCCUGGAGGUGAGGAUGCUUCGAUGGAUAUGUGAUAAUACUAGGAAAAGAUAUGAUUAAGAAUGAAGUUUUACGGGAUAAGGUGACAGUGGCCUAUGCGGCGGACAAGACAAUUGAAGCAAGGUUGAGAUGAUUCGAACGUGUAAAGAGAGGAUGCACCAGGGAGGAGGUGUGAGAGGUUGGCGACAACAGGAGUCAGAAGAGGUAGAGGUAGGCCGAAAAAGAACAAACAAAUAUGGCACAAGAUCAAUUAACUGAGCACAUGACCCUAGAUACAAGUGUGCGGAGGUCAAGGUCUCGAUGAAUAGAGAAGAAGGAUAGUAAGUUAAAAGGCCAUAUAUAAAACUAAAAACAAGUUUGUAAAGUAUUACAAAACCAUCAAUAGCAAGAACAAAAACUUCAUUCAUUUCUCUCACAACCAUCAAUAAUAAUAAUCAAAAACUCAAAAGUUUGGACAAAGAUAAGAUAUUAC
RNAcentral lists this long non-coding RNA (3380 nucleotides) under Capsicum annuum. RNAcentral's name for it is "long non-coding RNA (CANN_LNC016673)". The record is from RNAcentral. Lineage: Eukaryota; Viridiplantae; Streptophyta; Magnoliopsida; Solanales; Solanaceae.